Molecule: ribosomal RNA, 253 nt
Filed under: uncultured bacterium
Lineage: Bacteria
Description: partial 16S ribosomal RNA
Rfam family: Bacterial small subunit ribosomal RNA
Source: RNAcentral
UACAGAGGAGCCAAGCGUUGUCCGGAUUGACUGGGCGUAAAGCGCACGUAGGCGGCUUUGCAAGUUAGAGGUGAAAGCCCGGGGCUCAACUCCGGAAUUGCCUUUAAAACUGCAUCGCUAGAAUUGUGGAGAGGUAAGUGGAAUUCCGAGUGUAGAGGUGAAAUUCGUAGAUAUUCGGAAGAACACCAGUGGCGAAGGCGACUUACUGGACACAUAUUGACGCUGAGGUGCGAAAGCGUGGGGAGCAAACAGG